RNAcentral lists this transfer RNA (76 nucleotides) under Thermobispora bispora. RNAcentral's name for it is "tRNA-Gly". It matches the Rfam family "tRNA". Rfam says of the family: Transfer RNA (tRNA) molecules are approximately 80 nucleotides in length. RNAcentral also lists the same sequence under 1 other name. The record is from RNAcentral. Lineage: Bacteria; Bacillati; Actinomycetota; Actinomycetes; Streptosporangiales; Streptosporangiaceae.
GCGGAAGUGGCUCAGUUGGUAGAGCAUCACCUUGCCAAGGUGAGGGUCGCGGGUUCGAGUCCCGUCUUCCGCUCUA